UAAAGAUUUUAUCAUGCAAAAUAACAAGUAUAUUUUCAUAGACCAAGAAUGUUACUUAGAGGUAUACAGACAAAACCGAAGAAUUCUGCAACAGCUUGUAAACCAAACAAAUCAGGAACAGAAACAAGAAGCAGAGCAGACAACAGCCAAUGUAAUCAUCAAAAUUAAUAAUAAAUAUAAUGAAAUUAAAACGACAAAAAAGUUGAAACAACGAUUUCUGCAGCAAUAUGGAAAUCAAACAGAUCAGGAAAAGAUUGGAAUAAAUUCUGAUCAGGAAACUGAAUUAAGAUUCAUGAAUGACAUCAAUAAUGGAAGCAGUGUCAUGAACUGGAAGAUUUUAUAUCUUUUUGCCAUUCUACUUCAAUUAAAAUCUUUUUAAAAACG
Molecule: long non-coding RNA, 384 nt
Organism: Saccostrea cuccullata (small rock oyster)
Lineage: Eukaryota; Metazoa; Mollusca; Bivalvia; Ostreida; Ostreidae
Exons: 2
Source: RefSeq, a predicted model, not a curated record